Long non-coding RNA from Tigriopus californicus, 5536 nucleotides. RefSeq lists it as uncharacterized. The transcript is spliced from 2 exons. Lineage: Eukaryota; Metazoa; Arthropoda; Copepoda; Harpacticoida; Harpacticidae. The record is from RefSeq and is a predicted model, not a curated record.
UUCCAAUGGCCAAAAGAGAUUCCCUGUUGGGGGUCAAUGCCUAAAAUUGAAAGUGUUGUACACUAAAUUUGGUGAAAAUGUAUUUUAGUUGAAGUUUUCAUACCUGGCGUCUUGGAGAAUCAAAGUACUUUUGGUCAAUAGCCAAAAUUCUUGGCACCUCAAUGCCGCUUGGAGCAGAAGCUACAGUAAUAGUGGCCAUUUUGAGUAAAAGCUUGAAUUGAGGAGGUGUUGAAUAUGGUAGAAAAAGGUUGAUACUAAAAUGUAGCCGAGAGCAGGUGUCCUUUUAAAGCAGCCUCAUUACGCUACAACAAAUGUUUGACCCAAAUUGUUACAUCGCCGUUAUAGCUGCAAGUACGCGGGUCAUCAGUGCCGCCACUUUUGUGUCAGGUCAAUUCCAAAUUGUUUUAGCGAAUUAUCUAAUGCGAAGAAAAAUAACCCCUGAUAUAUUCACUCGUAUAUGAGUGCGAACACUUAUAAUAAAAAAAAUUAUUUGAACCCUUCACAUUUUACUAUGAAGGCUGGUAACUAUUUUGAAUUGAAGGAUAUUGAUCGAUUUUUUGUCGUUACUUGUACCAUUCCUGGUAAGUUCUCAGUGGCAGAUGCAGACGUCUGAAACUGGAACAAAUGUUAUUUGGCAUGUCAUGCUAUUGAAAGGCAACACUGUCGCCAAACUCUUUGUUUCUUCGAAUAAAAGGUGAAUGGGUCAAUCCAAAGACAGCCUAAUAGUAAUGUAUCAAAUUCAACUAUACAAAUUUAUAUGGACAGGGCUAAACAUUUUCAUCCAAUUUCUGUGAUUUUUCAGUCAAGUAGUAUUGAAAAUAUGAAACGAAGCUAAAUGAUCUUGGUUCAAAAACUAAUUAGUAGACACUCACUUUAGCAACUUAAAUCUAAAAAAUCGUACCAUACCCUUAUCACUUUCACGAGAAUUGUGUGCAAACAAAGUUAUUGGUAGUCAGAUGAAGUACUUAAAUAUCUUCCUUUGGUGAGAAACUUUAACUUCAUAUUUAUACGUUGCACAUUAAUGCUCUUAUGAUAUGUUUAUUUUAGGGGUGUAAAAUAAGUCUUUAUCUUUUUAAAUUACAAAAUUGAGUAUGAUAAUGACAUGUUUGGCUGAAACAAAUGAUUUCUUGUAGGACACUUGCGAACAGAAACUGUUACAGAAGUUCUCAACCUCAAGGCAACCGGCAAAGCCUAAUCUACUCUUUGCUAUGUUGAGCUCUUUUUAAAGACGUUGACCUACAUCCAGUGAUUGUGCGUUGAACGCGACAGCCGAGUGAGGGUAUAAACGAGCCGGUCAAAAGCUUUUAGCGAACUGGAGCUGGGUUGACAUCUGGCAUUCGUCCAUCCCUUCUAUCGGGACUUGCCGAGGGGAAAAAUGAAGGGAUAUCAAAUUCACGAUUUUGCUGCCAAAGAAAAGGAAUUGAUCUUCACUAGAACAAGUAUCCAAGACUCGAUCAGAAAAAAAUUAAAUUGCUGUAGCCUCGACCAGAACUUAGUUCUAAGCUAUUGAACAAUCGAUUCGCCCAUAAUGCAGGUAGUACUCCAACUGAAUAUGCUCAUCAAAACUUUUUAUCAUUUUGAAGACAAUUCCAAACGUACUGUACUGUUGGAUCUAUCGAGCGUUUAAGACCAGAGAUUGUAUCACAAUUCUAACUUUGAACAAGUUGAUUGAAGACCAAAAGAGUGAAACAUAUUCAAGACUUGAACUCGGCAGGUUUGCAAAAGGUUGAACAAGUUCAAAGACGUUUUACCAGAAAUAUUGAAGGUACUUGAUACCGUACGUCUUCUAGAGUCUCUAUGAGCAAUUACUUUAAAUAUGGCAAAGGUGUUUCAAGAGAUCAUGAAGUUUAGACUUGUCGAAGUCCUUGCCUUAGGUAGCUUGGGGGUUAGAAUACAUUUUAGCACGGUAACCCAACUCGUAGGGCAUACAUACAGAGCUGAUUAUUGAGGGUCUAGAAGGUCAUUGUCUGUCUCUAUACUGCCAAGGGAUUUGUCAAUAUAGAUCUUGGCCUUUUUAGUUAAAAGGCUGAACGAGAUAGAGACAUAUCGCUUCGAUUCCCCAUUUGGUUUAGCUUUCUCAAAAUCAUUAUGGAAGCAAAUCACAUCCACAAAGGCAGAACCAGGCUGCUGCGGAUAUGACACUGCUCUUUGAAAACAAAUUCGGAUGAUUUUUACUAACCCUAGCACCCAGGGCGACUCGGAUUUUGCAUAAAUAUAAAGUUAAGUAAGAAAUGCAAAUCUUUGAUUUUAUGUUCCAAUGUGAGGCAAGGAAGUAUGAUCUAAUUUUCUAGGCAUUACAUUAUUUUCAGAAUGUUAAAACGUAAUAUACACAAGGCUUCUUCUCUUUUCUUCAUUUUACUAUGUUUAUUGACAUUGGAGCUGUCCGUUGGAUCUGACAGGACCUCCGAAUCCGAUCCGAAGAGAUUUUGUUGUAAUCUGCUAUUUUUUCCCAGUCCGACCGAAUCUGAGUUCUGAAUCCGAAGCAGAGAGAUUUGACUUCUUCGAAUUUUCUAUGCCCAAGUCAAAUCAUCUUGUCACUUCAUCACGUUUAUGCGGCAAGAUUGAGUAGUAAUCAAAUGUCGAAUUAUGCAAAUAAAAAUGCAAAUUAUUCCAGCAAUGAAAUGAAAAUGUGAUUGAAAAGUAAAAUACAUGUGGGCCCAAUAGUUUAUUUCUUUCCAAGUUGCAUUUGAUGCUUUCAUAUUUCACUUACCUUAUAGCUGGAGUAGACACAUCAUUUUCCGAAAGGCUGUUUAUCUUCGACUUGAUCCAUUCAAUUUCUUACAUUGGUUCAGGUUUAUUCUUGCUGUGAACAGUGAACUUGCAGAGUUAAACCACUCUUUUUUAAAAACAGUGAUGCAACCAAAGAAAGAAUUGAAAAUUAGUCGUAGGAUAAAACAUAGAAUGAAAAUCAAAAUUAUAGCAAUCAAAUAUUACUGUCAUCAAAAUGGUGGAAAAAUUGUAAAUUGAAGGUCUUGAUAUGUUGAAUAUGAAGGAAUUUGUCUUUCAUAUCCUCUAAAAAUUUACAGCUGUUCAGCCAGCAAAUACUUCAAUUCCUUUCUUCUAAAUUUUGUGGCUCUUUAUCUCUGUGGAAUUGCAAACAAUUAAGAUUCUUUUUAAGAUGAUAGAUUUAUUAAUUGUUUGCAACUGUAACGUUCUGAAAUUCCCCCAGAGAGUUUUGAAAGUAACAAACCAUGCUCAAAACAAACUUAUAUACAUUUAGUUAAUCCUGAAGUUUAGAAUUGGGUUUCGAUCCAAACCCAAUCUGACUUUUCCAUUCCUCAAUCCUCAAUCUGAAUCCCAGCAAAAAGGUCAAUCCGUCUGAAUCCGAAUCCGAAAUUUUUCGCCGAUCUGAUUCGGAUCCGAUGAGCAGCUCUAUUCCAUAGUAGUCCCAGAUCGUCAGAAAUGACAUUUAAUGAACACUAAUUUUUUACAUGCCGGUUAAUUGGCAAAUUUUGUAGAUUAGUAGGUCCUUGGAAAAGGCAUAAUAAACUGGCUUUGCCUUCAAUGCUCGUUUAUCGCGGGUUCUUCUUAUAUGCAAUAUGUGUCGUAAUCAAGGCAACUAUUGCCCAAGUAAUUGUAUCUUGUAAUGCUCUAAAGUUGGAUUCACGCCGGCUAACUUCCCAUGUCACAUUCAUUUCUUGUGGAUAAUAAUAAAUACCAUUGUUAGGGAGGCGGGUGAAAUUGCCUUGACCACUUAUGAUUUGGAUCACUCUUUUCAAGGGCAGACAAGCAAUCACAUUUUGAUAAUAACGGGUCUCACUCUCGGCGUAAAUUUUACUUUGAUUUUUGCAUUUAAAUAUACGCUUCUCAUCUAAAGCAAUUCCAUUUCCUUGUUCCAGAGCGAUGUCAGACAUGUCCAUGUACUGAAUUUUCAAAUCCCAUAUUGGUUGCCUUGGGAAUAAUUCAUGCCCGCUCUUAUAAUGAAUACAUCACUCAUAUUUCCCCCCGCCAAUCAUGUGGAGAUAGUUCACAUUGAUACCGCAUUUGAUUUACGCCCAUGUUGGUUUAAUCCUAAACAAACCAUUAAAUCGGAGGGAAUAUAUGCACAACACAGUGCAUUCAUUGGUGGUGUCUUAUUUGCCAAGCAGUCCAUUGAAUGUUAUCCGUUACAAAUGGUCUGUCUAACGUGUGAUUCGAAGCGAAUGUAAGGGCUUCUUCUUGAAAAGGCACAUGGUCGUUAGAUUUAAUCUAGCGGCUCACCAAGAUUCAUUUCCAGUCAUUCGUCUUAAUUGAUGCACAAAUGGCAUAAUAGCUCCCCAAUAUUUCAUAGGUUGACGUGACUCCUGAUGCGAAAUGGGAGCGCUGCUGCAUUUCUGGGAAAUGUACGUAUCUCACAUAAUAGGGUAGGUAUACUCUCUCCAUCUCUCUUUUUCCUCGGAAAGAAAGAAAGAGGCCCCUUUAAUUGGCAGGUCUAUUGAGGUUGCACGAAAUGGGCUAUUUUCUCUCGUCCCGAUCCAUCCUGUACGGCUCCCUGCAGUGUUAAAAACCGGCUUUCCUUCAUCGGCUGGUUGCAUGCCAACCAGAAGUGAUCGUUGGCUUGAACGUUUGAGAUAAGAACCAGAAAUCAUAUUUUUCAACGUAUCAUAAUUAUUACCUUCCAGACCCGGAAUGCACGUUUUCAGUCAGCUCCCAGGUCGACAAACACUGUUAUCGCUGUAGGAGUUGGAUGAAACCUAUCGACGUCGAAUCUGUUCCAGUUAUAAUUGGGCCAGCUUUAACCAAGUGGAGGGUUAAUGACCCACACAUGAUAUCCCAAUCCAAUGCUCCUGCUGGUUUGUGGAAGAUCAAAUCUCCUCUUGAACUUGGUUGUCGAUCUUGUCCGAGUUAAAUUGAGAUUGGCCCUCAAAAGAACCAUAUAUCCUGUAUCCAACACCUGGUACCCAUGAACUUGCUUGAGAGCGAAGAUUGCACACCCGAUAAUGGUACCUACUACUUGUCCAGGCAUUCCUGGAUCGUCCAUUACAACACAUCUGUAAAUGAUCUGACAAAGGAACUUUUCAGGUCAAACGAGGUUGGGCUUGAAACCAAUCAAGUCAGUGGCUUUCAGCGUGAAUGGAAGAAGGAAAAAUCCUGUCGGACGUUUCCAAAGAAAACUCGUCGAUCGAUCGCUUCCCAAUUGGUUUGGAUUGAAAAGAGGGCGAAUAUUUGGAAACUGAUCCAUGGCGAUUUUUGAAAUGAUUUUCGAAGCGAAUCCCUUGGAUUGACGGGCUUUGUGAUAGGGUGUGUGUAGCAAACUUACAUUUGGUUAUGGACAUUGGUGGCGAAUAAAGAAGUCCUAAAAUGAGCAGAUCAGAUUUCUCGACAGAGGUCAUCAUCAACGGCUGACUUUUCUUCUACUUGAGUUUCAAUUCGAUUUGGGAGAGAGAUGAAUUCAACACGGUUGGCCCGGACCCCCAAAUUAAGAACAUGCAACAAACCAACAUCCAGAAUCCGCCCAAAAACCCAGUCUUUCUUGGACAUGAAACUUCGUUGGCGCUUUUCGAUAUCUAAAUGAUUACUACACCCUCGAAUUAAAUCAUUAGUCAUGUCACACCUA